This 464-nucleotide ribosomal RNA is filed under the name uncultured bacterium. RNAcentral describes it as "partial 16S ribosomal RNA". It matches the Rfam family "Bacterial small subunit ribosomal RNA", at positions 28 to 507 of the family's 1533-position model. The record is from RNAcentral.
GAUGAACGCUGGCGGUGUGCUUAACACAUGCAAGUCGAACGGAAAGGCUCCUGCUUGCUGGGGUGCUCGAGUGGCGAACGGGUGAGUAACACGUGGGUAAUCUGCCCUGCACUUCGGGAUAAGCCUAGGAAACUGGGUCUAAUACCGGAUAGGACGCUGGUUUGGAUGCCAUGGUGGAGAGUUUUUCGGUGUGGAUGAGCGCGCGGCCUAUCAGCUUGUUGGUGGGGUAGUGGCCUACCAAGGCGGCGACGGGUAGCCGGCCUGAGAGGGUGUACGGCCACAUUGGGACUGAGAUACGGCCCAGACUCCUACGGGAGGCAGCAGGGGGGAAUAUUGCACAAUGGGCGCAAGCCUGAUGCAGCGACGCCGCGUGGGGGAUGACGGCCUUCGGGUUGUAAACUGCUUUCGCUAGGGACGAAGCGGAAGUGACGGUACCUGGAGAAGAAGCACCGGCUAACUACGUG